Molecule: long non-coding RNA, 808 nt
Filed under: Marmota monax (woodchuck)
Lineage: Eukaryota; Metazoa; Chordata; Mammalia; Rodentia; Sciuridae
Source: RNAcentral
GAAUGAGCUCCAAGCAAUGAAUUUUCCUCUUAGAACUGCUUUCAUUGUGUCCCAUAGAUUCUAAUAUGUUGUGUCUGUGUUUUCAUUUACCUCAAUGAAUUUUUUAAUUUCCUCCUUGAUGUCUACUGUAACCCAUUGAUCAUUCAGUAACAUAUUGUUCAUUCUCCAAGUGAUGUAGGGUUUUUCCGUCUUUCUUUUAUCGUUGAUUUUCAGGUUCAUUCCAUUAUGAUCAGAUAAGAUGCAUGGUAUUAUCACUACUCCUUUAUAAUUGCUAAGAGUUGUCCUAUGGCAUAAUAUAUGGUCUAUUUUUGAGAAGGAUCCAUGUGCUGCUGUGAAAAAAGUAUAUCCGCUUGCUAAUGGUUGAUAUAUCCUAUAUAUGUCAGUUAAGUCUAGGUUAUUAAUUGUGUUAUUGAGUUCUAUAGUUUCUUUAUUCAACUUUUGUUUGGAAGAUCUGUCCAGUGGUGAGAGAGGUGUGUUGAAGUCACCCGUAAUUAUUGUGUCAUGGUCAAUUUGUCCCUUGAACUUGAGAAGAGUUUGUUUAUGAACAUAGCAGCACCAUUGUGUGGGGCAUAUAAAUUGAUAAUUGUUAUGUGUUGUUGGUGAAUGGUUCCCUUUAACAGAAUAUAGUGUCCUUCUUUAUCCCUUUUGAUUAAUUUAGGCUUGAAGUUAAUUUUAUUUGAUAUGAGUAUAGCCACCCCUGCUUGCUUCUGAGGUCCAUGUGUGUGGUAUGAUUUUUCCCAGCCUUUCACCUUCAGCUUUUGUGUGUCUUUUCCUAUCAGAUGAGUCUCCUGAAGGCAAUAUAUUUUUG